RNAcentral lists this small RNA (19 nucleotides) under Arabidopsis thaliana (thale cress). Its description in RNAcentral is "ATSL020820". Lineage: Eukaryota; Viridiplantae; Streptophyta; Magnoliopsida; Brassicales; Brassicaceae. The record is from RNAcentral.
AAAAAAAACAGAAAAAACA